CCUACGGGAGGCAGCAGUGGGGAAUAUUGCACAAUGGGCGCAAGCCUGAUGCAGCCAUGCCGCGUGUGUGAAGAAGGCCUUCGGGUUGUAAAGCACUUUCAGCGGGGAGGAAGGCGUUAAGGUUAAUAACCUUGGCGAUUGACGUUACCCGCAGAAGAAGCACCGGCUAACUCCGUGCCAGCAGCCGCGGUAAUACGGAGGGUGCAAGCGUUAAUCGGAAUUACUGGGCGUGAAGCGCACGCAGGCGGUCUGUCAAGUCGGAUGUGAAAUCCCCGGGCUCAACCUGGGAACUGCAUUCGAAACUGGCAGGCUAGAGUCUUGUAGAGGGGGGUAGAAUUCCAGGUGUAGCGGUGAAAUGCGUAGAGAUCUGGAGGAAUACCGGUGGCGAAGGCGGCCCCCUGGACAAAGACUGACGCUCAGGUGCGAAAGCGUGGGGAGCAAACAGGAUUAGAUACCCGAGUAGUC
This 465-nucleotide ribosomal RNA is filed under the name uncultured Klebsiella sp. Its description in RNAcentral is "bacterial SSU rRNA". It matches the Rfam family "Bacterial small subunit ribosomal RNA", at positions 338 to 795 of the family's 1533-position model. The record is from RNAcentral. Lineage: Bacteria; Pseudomonadati; Pseudomonadota; Gammaproteobacteria; Enterobacterales; Enterobacteriaceae.